RNAcentral lists this ribosomal RNA (492 nucleotides) under Feihyla inexpectata (Bornean opposite-fingered tree frog). RNAcentral's name for it is "partial 12S rRNA". It matches the Rfam family "Bacterial small subunit ribosomal RNA", at positions 794 to 1525 of the family's 1533-position model. Lineage: Eukaryota; Metazoa; Chordata; Amphibia; Anura; Rhacophoridae. The record is from RNAcentral.
GCUAAACCGUAAAAAAUUUACCCACACCAACAAACGCCCGGGGACUACGAGCUUUAGCUUAAAACCCAAAGGACUUGACGGUAUCCUACCCAACUAGAGGAGCCUGUUCUAUAAUCGAUGAUCCACGAUAUACCUAACCAUUUUUUGCCAUUCAGCCUGUAUACCUCCGUCGCAAGCUUACCAUAUGAACGAGCAAUAGUAGGCUAAAUGACUUAACGCCAUAACGUCAGGUCAAGGUGCAGCUUAUAAAAUGGAAGAGAUGAGCUACAAUUUCUACCUUAGAACAAACGAAACACUAUAUGAAACAUAGUCAUGAAGGCGGAUUUAGAAGUAAGUAGGGAAUAGAGAGCCCCACUAAACCCGGCCCUAGGAUGUGUACAAACCGCCCGUCACCCUCUUCGUUAGCCACUAAUAAUUUACUAAACCAAUACAGCACUGUAGAAGAGGUAAGUCGUAACAUGGUAAGUAUACCGGAAGGUGUACUUGGAAUAA